Non-coding RNA from Heterocephalus glaber (naked mole-rat), 3962 nucleotides. The record is from RefSeq and is a predicted model, not a curated record. Lineage: Eukaryota; Metazoa; Chordata; Mammalia; Rodentia; Bathyergidae.
AGCGCUGGGGUCUCCUUGCCGGUUCUGACGGGCACCCCUCCCUGCACCCUCUCCGGCCCACGCCCCUCUCUGGCUGCAUCCAGAUGGGACUCAGCCGAUCCCCAGGCAGCCUGGUCCCCCAGAGGAGGGAGGAAGGAUCAAGAUAGAGCCCGGGCCCCAGCUCAGCCUCCAGGGAUAUGGGCUGGCUGGGCGGCCACAGGGAAAGGACGAUCGACUAACUUCCCCCCCGCAGACCCCAGCCCAUUUUCUUCUGCCACGCUUUGGCCAACAAAGGCCUCGGGAACUCCAUGGCUUUUGGUAAAGGUGAAGCUCAUUGCCCUCCUGGGCACAGGCUAGGAAAAGCCAGGAGAUGGGGGACCCUUGGAGACCCAGAAAGGAUGCCGCCUGUCUGCGGGACAGCUCCUGGUUAGCACCCUUCUUUAGCUAGGCUAUCUUCUUCAGUCAAGGCCUUAAGCUUGAAGCUCUUUAGGUCCCCAGUCGGUGGCUUCCAAGUCCUACCCCCUUUCCUGCCAGGGCUCCAGGCACUGCCACCCCUCCCCCGCAGCAGUAGGACAAGCCCCUCUUUCCAGGAGGCGGUUGCUAGCUUGCAGGCCCAGGAAUGUUUAGGGUUUGGGGGGGUUUUUUUUGGUACGGGGUAUCAAACUCAGGACCUUGUACUUGCGAGGCAGGAGGCGGCACCACUGAGCUAAAUCCCCGGCCCCCCAGGAAUGUUUAGAACCUGAGGAAGAUCUCAGCAGUUAGUCACCAGGUGCCCCACCUGGGAAAGCUGUAAGGCUGCUCUCUAGGGCACGUUUGCUCUGCAAGGUGCCCUGUGUGGAAGCAGGUGGGGACAGCACGGUCACUAGGUUGCCUCCCCCACGAUGUGUCCUUGGAGUGAGUGAGCAAGUACAAGAAUGCUGAAAGAAGCCAGGCGCAGUGGCACACACCUGUAAUCCCAGCGCUCAGGAGGCUGAUACAGGAGGACCGCUGGGAGUUGGAGGCAGCCUGCGCUACAUAGUGCGUUCAUGGCCAGCCUGAACUACAUAGUGAGACCCUGUCUCAAAAGAAAAGGAAUGCUGAAAGAGAUGCUAAAAGCAGGCCCAGAGCUCACACUCUGCCGCUGCCAGGUGAGGGAGAAAUGAGGGGGCUGGAUCUUGAGUGGCCUUGAAGGACACCUGCCUCUUUCUUUCCCCUGGCUCCUCUCCCACACCAAGUCUCACUCUCACUGGGAGCACUGGGCCUCCACCCCAGAGUGCUGGGGAAGCUACUGUACCAGCCACCCGCCCAGGGCCAUUGAGAUAGGCAUCCUGUGUGGGUUUGUGGCAGGAAAUGGGCCCCUGAUCUCUCAGAGGAGGGGGAGCUGCUGAUGGCCAGCCCCCAGGCUGAUGCGGACCUCCUGACCUCCUUGCCCUACAAGCCAGCUGAGCUGUUUGCCUAGGAGGUGUCGAGGCCGAGCAGCUGUUUGUGUUUGGUGGACAAGCCCGGCUGGGUGAUUGGCUGCAUCAUUUGCCCGAGGCAGCUGUGAUGUGUAAAGUACACGGGCAGUGACCCUGCCUCCCUCCCUCCCUGGCUCCAGAGGGCCCCAUCCCCCAUCCCUCCAUCUGUCCCCUGGCCAGGCAGCAUCUGUAAGGUGUCGUAGGCUCCCCCCACCCCCACCCACUGCCUUGCCCAGGUCUGUCCCAGGGGACAGAGUCUGGGAGGAGCCUGGCCUGGUGGGAGCUCCUUUGAGAGAUGGGGCUCACAGGCCGGCGGUACCUACCCGACCACUCUUCUGAGUCCAAGGGGUCUGUGCCACAUUGCCCUAGCCACUGACAGAUUCUAGAAUGGCCCCCAGGAAAUGGUCCCUCUUCCCUUCUAUCUACUGUGGAGACCAUGCCGCAGAAAGGCUAGGAUAUCUUCCUACAGUCACACAGGCAGCCAUUUAUAAGCCAGGACUACAGCCUUCCACGCUUCUGCUCGGCCCCCAUCUCUCCACAAAGUUAGCCAAUCCCAAUACACUGCACCCCGGGGCAGGGAAGCUUCUGGAUCCAUGGUCAGAUUCAGAGCCUCAAAACUCAUUCAAACCUACUCCCUGCUCGGCCCACUGAACAGUCUAACUGGGCACUGGGAACACCCAGAACUGAGUCUGGACUCCCCCCAGCCUGAGGAGUGCCUGAGUGAAGGGCGCUUCCCCCAUCCCUACCUUUUCUCUGGAGAAGCAGCACCAGGCUGGCAGAUGGCGAAGGGGAGGUCAUUGCCCACCCCCAGACCCCUUCCCUGGAGCCGCUGCCCUCCUUACCUGCAGCAACCCAGCCAUGUCAAUUUGUGACAUUUGUCCCAUGAGUGUGUGUGGAAGGUUUCUGCCAAAAGAACUUCAGUCUCCCCAUCACAGUACAAAUUUCAACCUUCCCUCCUCCAUGCAACCCUUCUAUAAACAAAAUCCCUCUUUAGAUACUUCCAAGUAAAUGCUGUGACUCAAAACGAAACCCAAACAACAGUAAUUUUAGCAUAUGCCUGUGCCAGCGCCAGUGCCCUGCCCCCGUGGGGUCCUGAUAGGCUCCCUUGGGUGGGCAUCCUGGCCAAGGCAUUGUUUCCCCUUCCCAGCCCUGUAGCCCCGCCCACACGUGUACACCUGAGUGGUAAACACACAGAAGGGAGGGAAUCCCUGCAGCAUGCUGUGACACAUAAAUGUGGCUAGUCACAUGUGGCCAUAGUCAUUCAAAUAUGAGGCUCUCUGGGGCCCCUGAGGACAUUUAGAGGUCUCAACUUGGGCUUCCAGGAUAUUGGACAGGGCCAGGAGGGUCAGGUGAGCCAGGAAUCAUGGAGAGACAGGGAGAGGACAGCAGCAGGCUCCCCAGAGGCAGGUGCCACAAGGUGCUGUGGGCAUCCUUUGCUGUCUGGCCUCUCCUCUCCUCUGAUCCUCUUUCCAGAUUGUCUCUCCCUGGAAUCCCAGAACCCCCUGCAUCCCCCAGUCUCCAUUAACUGCCUCUGCCCCAUCUCCUAGGUGAUGCUUCUGGGAGACUCGGGUGUCGGCAAAACCUGUUUCCUGAUUCAAUUCAAAGACGGGGCCUUCCUGUCCGGGACCUUCAUAGCCACGGUCGGCAUAGACUUCAGGAACAAGGUGGUGACGGUGGAUGGUGCAAGGGUGAAGUUACAGAUCUGGGACACCGCAGGGCAGGAGCGCUUCCGCAGUGUCACCCACGCCUACUACCGAGAUGCCCAGGCCUUGCUCCUGCUGUAUGACAUCACCAACAAAUCUUCCUUCGACAACAUCAGGGCCUGGCUCACCGAGAUUCAUGAAUACGCCCAGAGGGACGUGGUGAUCGUGCUGCUAGGCAACAAGGUGCGUGGCUGUGUGGCAGGGUCCGCCCCCCCUGCCCCUCCUCUCCCAUUGCCUAGGCAUCAGGCUCAGCCAAGAAUAGUUAGACGUCCUUUCAUAGAGGACCCCCUGGUCUCCACUUCGGGAGUCAGACACAUGCUCUCCCAGAGCCCUCUUAAAGCUUUGGAAAUAGCCCCGCCCAGAGAAACCCCAAGCUGCUGCCUGGGAGGGUUCCCCCAGUGCCGGCCCACCUUAGAUCAUAGGGAGUGGGGUCAGGGGCUAGUACUGUCACCACCCCCGUCCCUACAGGUAGGUCACCACACCUUGGCCAACAAGAGUUACCUACCUAAAACAGGGAGACAUCCUGGCCCCUAGCCAAUCACACCUGCCAGCAGUCCCUCAGGCCACCAGCAGAGGGCAGGCAGUACAUGCUCCCGGGGCAAAAGACCGCCAGCUGGGGUCAAGGGUCCCCUCCCCAGAGUGACCCACAUGGGCUUGACAGGCGGAUGUGAGCAGCGAGAGGGUGAUCCGUUCGGAGGACGGAGAGACUCUGGCCAGGGAAUACGGCGUUCCCUUCAUGGAGACCAGCGCCAAGACCGGCAUGAACGUGGAGUUAGCCUUCCUGGCCAUUGCCAAGGAGCUGAAACAUCGGGCAGGGCGGCAGGCUAAUGAGCCCAGCUUCCAG